GACGAACGCUGGCGGCGUGCCUAAUACAUGCAAGUUGAGCGCUGAAGGUUGGUACUUGUACCGACUGGAUGAGCAGCGAACGGGUGAGUAAAGCGUGGGGAAUCUGCCUUUGAGCGGGGGACAACAGUUGGAAACGAAUGCUAAUACCGCAUAAAAACUUUAAACACAAGUUUUAAGUUUGAAAGAUGCAAUUGCAUCACUCAAAGAUGAUCCCGCGUUGUAUUAGCUAGGUGGUGAGGUAAAGGCUCACGAAGGCGAUGAUACAUAGCCGACCUGAGAGGAUGGGCAGCCACAUUGGGACGGUGACCCGGCCCAUACGCCCACAGGAGGCAGCAGUAGGGAAUCUUCGGCAAUGGGCGAAAGGCUGACCGAGAAACGCCGCGGGAGUGAAGAACGUUUUCGGAUCGUAAAACACUGUUGGUAGAGAAGAACGUUGGUGAGAGUGGAAAGCUCAUCAAGUGACGGUAACUACCCAGAAAGCGACGGCUAACUACGUG
This 497-nucleotide ribosomal RNA is filed under the name uncultured bacterium. RNAcentral describes it as "partial 16S ribosomal RNA". It matches the Rfam family "Bacterial small subunit ribosomal RNA", at positions 28 to 507 of the family's 1533-position model. The record is from RNAcentral.